AGGACGAACGCUGGCGGCGCGCUUAACACAUGCAAGUCGAGCGAGAACCAGGCCUUCGGGCCUGGGGAAAGCGGCGAACGGGUGAGUAACACGUGGGUAACCCACCCUUGGUACCGGGAUAGCCCGAGGAAACUCGGAUUAAUACCGGAUGGCCCAACAGCUUCUCGGAGCGGUUGGAAAAGGUAGCUUCGGCCUCCGACCAAGGACGGGCCCGCGGUGGAUUAGCUUGUUGGUGAGGUAACGGCUCACCAAGGCUUCGAUCCAUAGCUGGUCUGAGAGGACGAUCAGCCACACUGGGACUGAGACACGGCCCAGACUCCUACGGGAGGCAGCAGUGGGGAAUCUUGCGCAAUGGGCGAAAGCCUGACGCAGCGACGCCGCGUGGGGGAAGAAGGCUUUCGGGUUGUAAACCCCUUUCAGGAAGGACGAAGCCACUCGGGUUAAUAGCCCAGAGGGUGACGGUACUUCCAGAAGAAGCCCCGGCUAACUACGCGCCAGCAGCCGCGGUAA
This 510-nucleotide ribosomal RNA is filed under the name uncultured bacterium. Its description in RNAcentral is "SSU rRNA". It matches the Rfam family "Bacterial small subunit ribosomal RNA", at positions 26 to 523 of the family's 1533-position model. The record is from RNAcentral.